Molecule: ribosomal RNA, 254 nt
Filed under: uncultured bacterium
Lineage: Bacteria
Description: partial 16S ribosomal RNA
Rfam family: Bacterial small subunit ribosomal RNA
Source: RNAcentral
UACGGGGGGAGCAAGCGUUGUUCGGAUUUACUGGGCGUAAAGGGCGCGUAGGCGGUCAGCACAAGUCAGUUGUGAAAUCUCCGGGCUUAACUCGGAAAGGUCAACUGAUACUGUGCGACUAGAGUGCAGAAGGGGCAACUGGAAUUCUCGGUGUAGCGGUGAAAUGCGUAGAUAUCGGAAGGAACACCAGUGGCGAAGGCGACUGUCUGGGCCAAUACUGACACUGAGGUACGAAAGCGUGGGUAGCGAACAGG